UCUGGGCGUAAAGAGCUCGUAGGUGGUUUGUCGCGUUGUUCGUGAAAUCUCACGGCUUAACCGUGAGCGUGCGAGCGAUACGGGCAGACUAGAGUACUGCAGGGGAGACUAGAAUUCCUGAUGUAGCGGUGGAAUGCGCAGAUAUCAGGAGGAACACCGGUGGCGAAGGCGGGUCUCUGGGCAGUAACUGACGCUGAGGAGCGAAAGCGUGGGGAGCGAACAGGAUUAGAUACCCUGGUAGUCCACGCCGUAAACGGUGGGUACUAGGUGUGGGUUUCCUUCCUCGGGAUCCGUGCCGUAGCUAACGCAUUAAGUACCCCGCCUGGGGAGUACGUCCGCAAAGGCUAAAACUCCAAAGGAAUUGACGGGGGCCCGCACAAGCGGCGGAGCAUGUGGAUUAAUUCGAUGCAACGCGAAGGGAACCGUUACCUGGGUUUGACAUGCACAGGACGCGUCUAGAGAUAGGCGUUCCCUUGUGGCCUGUGUGCAGGUGGUGCAUGGCUGUCGUCAGCUCGUGUCGUGAGAUGUUGGGUUAAGUCCCGCAACGAGCGCAACCCUUGUCUCAUGUUGCCAGCGGGUAAUGCCGGGGACUCGUGAGAAACUGCCGGGGUCAACUCGGAGGAAGGUGGGGAUGACGUCAAGUCAUCAUGCCCCUUAUGUCCAGGGCUUCACACAUGCUACAAUGGCCGGUACAAAGGGCUGCGAUGCCGCAAGGUUAAGCGAAUCCUUUUAAAGCCGGUCUCAGCUCGGAUCGGGGUCUGCAACUCGACCCCGUGAAGUCGGAGUCGCUAGUAAUCGCAGAUCAGCAACGCUGCGGUGAUACGUUCCCGGGCC
This 834-nucleotide ribosomal RNA is filed under the name uncultured bacterium. Its description in RNAcentral is "bacterial SSU rRNA". It matches the Rfam family "Bacterial small subunit ribosomal RNA", at positions 553 to 1380 of the family's 1533-position model. The record is from RNAcentral.